This 253-nucleotide ribosomal RNA is filed under the name uncultured bacterium. Its description in RNAcentral is "partial 16S ribosomal RNA". It matches the Rfam family "Bacterial small subunit ribosomal RNA", at positions 524 to 776 of the family's 1533-position model. The record is from RNAcentral.
UACGGAGGGGGCUAGCGUUUUUCGGAAUUACUGGGCGUAAAGCGCGCGUAGGCGGACUGUUAAGUCGGGGGUGAAAUCCCGGGGCUCAACCCCGGAACUGCCUUCGAUACUGGCGGUCUAGAGGUCUGGAGAGGUGAGUGGAAUUCCGAGUGUAGAGGUGAAAUUCGUAGAUAUUCGGAGGAACACCAGUGGCGAAGGCGGCUCACUGGCCAGAUUCUGACGCUGAGGUGCGAAAGCGUGGGGAGCAAACAGG